RNAcentral lists this unclassified non-coding RNA (275 nucleotides) under Hevea brasiliensis (rubber tree). The record is from RNAcentral. Lineage: Eukaryota; Viridiplantae; Streptophyta; Magnoliopsida; Malpighiales; Euphorbiaceae.
AAAAAAAAAAAAAAAAAAAAAAAAGAGAGCUUGUGAUGUGGAUGAUCAUAUCAAAGGUAUUAACAAAGGGAUACAUGUAAAAGGCUCUUUUUUUAAUGGGAAAAUGCAGAUGAAUCAUGUUUCCAGUAGUGAAUGUUGGGGGCAGUUGAAAUAUUAAUGUUUGUUCACAAACUCUUUCUGUAAUAUUCCUUCGCUUUAACCCACUGUAAACCAUUCUUCGGUUGGUUUAUUUUAAGCUAUUGUCAUAGUGAAGUCAAAUGUCAGGAUUACGGGAG